CCUACGGGAGGCUGCAGUGGGGAAUAUUGGACAAUGGGCGAAAGCCUGAUCCAGCCAUGCCGCGUGUGUGAAGAAGGCCUUCGGGUUGUAAAGCACUUUCAGUGGGGAAGAAAGCCUUGGGGCUAAUACCCUCGAGGAAGGACAUCACCCACAGAAGAAGCACCGGCUAACUCCGUGCCAGCAGCCGCGGUAAUACGGAGGGUGCGAGCGUUAAUCGGAAUUACUGGGCGUAAAGCGCGCGUAGGCGGUCUGAUAAGCCGGUUGUGAAAGCCCCGGGCUCAACCUGGGAACGGCAUCCGGAACUGUCAGGCUAGAGUGCAGGAGAGGAAGGUAGAAUUCCCGGUGUAGCGGUGAAAUGCGUAGAGAUCUGGAGGAAUACCAGUGGCGAAGGCGGCCUUCUGGACUGACACUGACGCUGAGGUGCGAAAGCGUGGGUAGCAAACAGGAUUAGAUACCCGAGUAGUC
This 465-nucleotide ribosomal RNA is filed under the name Vreelandella stevensii. RNAcentral's name for it is "partial 16S ribosomal RNA". It matches the Rfam family "Bacterial small subunit ribosomal RNA", at positions 338 to 795 of the family's 1533-position model. The record is from RNAcentral. Lineage: Bacteria; Pseudomonadati; Pseudomonadota; Gammaproteobacteria; Oceanospirillales; Halomonadaceae.